RNAcentral lists this ribosomal RNA (2249 nucleotides) under Corallium rubrum. Its description in RNAcentral is "large subunit ribosomal RNA". It matches the Rfam family "Bacterial large subunit ribosomal RNA". The record is from RNAcentral. Lineage: Eukaryota; Metazoa; Cnidaria; Anthozoa; Scleralcyonacea; Coralliidae.
AGUCUGGGGUCUGUCGGUAAGGACGUGAAACACGAAAUAACAAGGGAGAGGCUCAGAACUUGUUUGUCCUAACCAAAAAGGGUAAAUUGAAUAGUUAAUUGAAACAUCUUACUAAACUAUGGGGAAUACAUCAACUGAGAUUCCGUACGUAGCGGCGAGCGAUAGCGGAGGAAUUGUCUCAAACAGAUAAUUAAGGUGAUUGGACAUCUAGACUAAACCCCGAUAGACACCUAUAGAGAAAGUACCGUGAGGGAAAGACUUAGAAUUGGUUCUAAAGGUUACCUUUUGCAUAAUGGGCCUGCAAGAUAAGAUUUGGCAAGCUUAAGUAGUGAAUGAAGGCGUAGUGAAAGCAAGGGAAAAACUCGUCAGUCAGAUCUCCCGAAACCAAGUGAUCUAACCAUGGCCAGGUAGCUAGCUAUGCUGCUGACCGAACCAGUGAUUGUGGCAAAAAUCUUGGAUGAGCUGUGGUUAGCGGUGAAAUACUAGUCGAACUUGGAUAUAGCUGGUUCUCUACGAAACCUAUCUUAGUAAGGCACUCCAAGUUGAUUCGCCCCCAAACCAGGGGGCUUGAAUCACUGGGGUAGGCAGACUAUGGCGAUAAGGCCCCUAGUCAGGAGGGGUAAGCCCUAACCAGAAAUUAAAGUCACUAAUACAGAUUAAGUGUAUAAAGAGGGUCCAACUUAGACAAACAGGAAGUAGGCUUGGAAACAGCCAUCUGCACAGGAAAACGUAAAAGUUCACUGAAUAAGCUAGGAAACUCUAAAAAUUAAGGCGGCUAAAUCUGUAACUGAAACUCUGGAAGCCAUACGGCAACCGCAAAAGGCGUCAACUGGCUUGGUAGUAGAGCGUUCUGUAUGUACACACCUCGUGAGAUAAACAGAAGUGAUAAUGCAGGCAUGAGUAGUACAGGAUUUACUCCCAAAUAAAAUAUUUAUACAACUUCUAAGGGCAUUACGCCCGAUGAAUUAUAAUUCCUGUACCUGUUCGGGAAAACUUUUAUAGUGCAUAGCACCUUUUAUUGUUACUUAUGGGAUUUAUAUCUGGGCAUAAUUUCUCUUAGGGAACUCGGCAAAGAAGAUCUCGACUGUUUACCAAAAACAUAGCUCUCUGCUAAAGGCUUACUGAAGUAUAGAGGGUGAAUUCUGCCCAAUGGUUGUAUAGUGAAACUGAGGACUAACGUCUAAAGCGAAACCCAGCUGAAUGGCCGCGGUAACUCUGACCGUGAUAAUGUAGCACAAUAAAUAGCCAAUUAAUUGUUGGCGGGUAUGAAUGGAACCACGAGGGUCUUACUGUCCCAAGAGAAAAGCCGAUGAAAUUAUAAUUGUAGUGAAGAUACUACAUAAACAUUGUAAGACGAAAAGACCCUGUCGAGCUUUACUGGAUACCAAUAGCGUUAAUUUAGAAUGAUCGGUACUAAGUAUUCUAAUUUUAAGUUAAUAAUUUUUGUUGGCAGGACAGUUUAGUUGGGGCGACUACCUCUGAAUAAGAAACGGAGGCGAGCUUAUGGUAUUAUUAAAAUCUCAUUAGCCUGACAGUGAGGGGGACACCCCUAGCUGGCACAAGGACUUACCCAUUACAACGUAAUGGGUUCCUAUGUGGGCGAUAAUGACCCGAUAUAAUUAUCCUAAAUAAAUAUCGAAAGCGGAUAAAAGCUACCGCAGGGAUAACAGCGUAAUAUUGUCGGAGAGUUCUUAUCGAGGACAGUGUUUGCGACCUCGAUGUUGAAUUGCGGUGCCCUGGUGCUGUAGAAGGUACCUUAGGUUGGUCUGUUCGACCAUGAAAACCGUACAUGAUUUGAGUUCAGAGCGUGGUGACACAGCUCGGUUUCUAUCUACAAUGUUCAAUCCCAACUUUUCUGAGUUUUAGUACGCAAGGAAUGGUCUCAGCGAUGCUCGACUAUAUUGGCCCCAUCGACGUAAUCAACUUCUGGCUGCUGCAAAGAAGGAGAACAAAAGGUUUGGGAUUAAUAGGGUGCCACAAAAGUGGCGCACCUUUAGGUGCCAUGUGGGCGCAUAGCCCCUGGCACCCUAUGGAAUUAACACUAGGGCUUAUUAUACUAAUAGUGUUAACGUAUGGAUUAAAGGGCCCGACUCUAAGAUUAGCAAUAUUCUGUUUGGGAGUGACACUACUUAUGGGUGCUGCUGGGUUAUUAGCUGAGCCCCAUCUGCUAUGUUGGACACCGGCUAUUAAGAUGUUGGUGAUGCUAAGUGGGUUAGCCAUACUAUGUAUGCUGGACCAUCGAACAUCGC